UGCUAUGGGCAAACCUUCCGAAAGGUAGGGACGCAAAGUUUUGAGUCUAAAGCUAUAAAAGCUAUGAUUGUCAGGCUGCU
This 80-nucleotide non-coding RNA is filed under the name human gut metagenome. RNAcentral's name for it is "Cyclic di-GMP-I riboswitch". It matches the Rfam family "c-di-GMP-I riboswitch aptamer". From Rfam's summary of the family: GEMM was predicted in a large-scale screen for bacterial structured RNA regulatory elements. Genes associated with GEMM are involved in a diverse array of functions, including chemotaxis regulation, signal transduction, secretion and chitin. The record is from RNAcentral.